Non-coding RNA from Microcebus murinus (gray mouse lemur), 1214 nucleotides. The record is from RefSeq and is a predicted model, not a curated record. Lineage: Eukaryota; Metazoa; Chordata; Mammalia; Primates; Cheirogaleidae.
AGUCCCUUAGAACAGAUCUCAGAGGUCCUUCAGUUCAAUCAUCCCCCAGGAUUGGGCAAGUGGAAAAGACUGAAUGGAGUGGCACAGAACACCGGGCUACACAGAGUCAUGGGGUGUCUGGGCUGGGACAGCCUCAGAAAUCACCUAGCCCAGCAUUUCUACAAAUGCCUUGUGAUGACUGGUGGUUCCGCACAUUUCUUCAUGGGGGAAAUAAAAGUUUCCCUGGGCAAAGAUAGAGUGAGAAAUGUUGUCCACUUUCACCCCUCUUGGAGAUUUGCUUCACUGGUGAGUAUAUUUAACAUCCUGAGAAGUCCCGAAAUCAAUAAGGAACCCCUCUCCCCAUUAAAGGUUUGUUUACCCCAGUUUCCCAGCAUAUUCGACCCCUUUUUAUUAAACUUAUUAAACUUAUUUAUUAAACUUAAAAUUAUUUUGGGACAUAUUUUAAGAACCUCAAAUAUAAUUCAAUCUUUACAGCUUACUAACAAGGAAACUGAGUUUGAGAGAAAAGUGGGCAUCUAUGCAAGUUCGCCCAGCUAAUCAGUGAGAGAGCCAGCGCCGGGACCCAGGCUUCCCACAGUGGCAACAUGGCUCUGUCCACUCCCCCAACUGAAUCUGAGGACCUUCAGGAUGCGACAGCCUGCCCAUGGAGAAAUUGCUCUCUCUGGUUACCUCUUUAGGAGGUAAAAGCAAAGACAAAGGUGGCAGGUAAGCUGGAGAGGUGUCAUCUUGUGACUAGUCUGCUUUGACAUCUUUCUUCUGAGAUUCCACAACUGCUAUCAAGAUCUGUCAGCACCCAGAACACUUCAACAUCUUCAGCAACAUCUUCAGCAACCAGAAUUUCAUGCAUCUACUUCUACAUUUGCAAAGGGAAAGCAUUUGAGCUGAGAUGUCAAGGACAAGUGGAGUUGACUCAGCAAGGGAAGAGGAGGAAUGAGGAAGAGAUUUCCAGGAAGACAUAAAGGCACAUUCGAAGGCUGGGAGGUGAGCAGGCUCCUUACCCCGUUCACUGAGAAGAAUUGGCCGCACUCGGAUAUGAUAGUUCAGACGCUUGCCUGCACGUCAGAAUCACCUGGGGAGAACUAAAGACCCACCAGACAGUCUGAUUUAACUGGCCUGAGUGUUUAGUGGGCCCAACGCUAUUUCACAAGCUGAGGUGAUUCCAAUGUGCCGUCAGGGCUGAGAAUCACUACCCUGACAUUCCCAACUCUCUACGG